Molecule: ribosomal RNA, 253 nt
Filed under: uncultured prokaryote
Description: partial 16S ribosomal RNA
Rfam family: Bacterial small subunit ribosomal RNA
Source: RNAcentral
ACGGAGGGUGCGAGCGUUGUUCGGAAUCAUUGGGCGUAAAGGGCGUGUAGGUGGUCUGCUAAGUCAUGUGUGAAAGCCCCCGGCUCAACCGGGGAAGUGCGCAUGAAACUGACAGGCUAGAGUACCGAAGAGGAAGGUGGAAUUCCAGGUGUAGCGGUGAAAUGCGUAGAUAUCUGGAGGAACAUCUGUGGCGAAGGCGACACCCUGGACCAGCACUGACACUGAGGCACGAAAGCGUGGGGAGCAAACAGGA